This 329-nucleotide ribosomal RNA is filed under the name uncultured eukaryote. RNAcentral's name for it is "partial 18S ribosomal RNA". It matches the Rfam family "Eukaryotic small subunit ribosomal RNA", at positions 1470 to 1796 of the family's 1831-position model. The record is from RNAcentral.
CCCUUAGAUGUUCUGGGCCGCACGCGCGCUACACUGACGAUGGCAACGAGUUUUUCCUUCGCCGAAAGGUGUGGGUAAUCUUUUGAAACAUCGUCGUGCUGGGGAUAGAUCAUUGCAAUUUUUGAUCUUGAACGAGGAAUUCCUAGUAAGCGCGAGUCAUCAGCUCGCGUUGAUUACGUCCCUGCCCUUUGUACACACCGCCCGCCGCUACUACCGAUUGAAUGGUUUAGUGAGGACUCCUGAUUGGCGCCGCCGCCCCGGCAACGGAGCAGCGGACUGCCGAAAAGUUGUUCAAACUUGAUCAUUUAGAGGAAGUAAAAGUCGUAACA